Molecule: ribosomal RNA, 433 nt
Filed under: uncultured bacterium
Lineage: Bacteria
Description: partial 16S ribosomal RNA
Rfam family: Bacterial small subunit ribosomal RNA
Source: RNAcentral
AACGAACGCUGGCGGCAUGCCUAACACAUGCAAGUCGAACGAGACCUUCGGGUCUAGUGGCGCACGGGUGCGUAACGCGUGGGAACCUGCCCUUAGGUUCGGAAUAACUCCCCGAAAGGGGUGCUAAUACCGGAUAAUGUCUUCGGACCAAAGAUUUAUCGCCUUUGGAUGGGCCCGCGUUGGAUUAGCUAGUUGGUAGGGUAAAAGCCUACCAAGGCGACGAUCCAUAGCUGGUCUGAGAGGAAGAUCAGCCACACUGGGACUGAGACACGGCCCAGACUCCUACGGGAGGCAGCAGUGGGGAAUAUUGGACAAUGGGCGAAAGCCUGAUCCAGCAAUGCCGCGUGAGUGAUGAAGGCCUUAGGGUUGUAAAGCGCUUUUACCCGGGAUGAUAAUGACAGUACCGGGAGAAUAAGCUCCGGCUAACUCCGUG